Molecule: unclassified non-coding RNA, 244 nt
Filed under: plant metagenome
Description: partial contains small subunit ribosomal RNA, internal transcribed spacer 1, and 5.8S ribosomal RNA
Source: RNAcentral
UCUCCGUUGGUGAACCAGCGGAGGGAUCAUUACCGAGUUUACAACUCCCAAACCCAAUGUGAACCAUACCAAACUGUUGCCUCGGCGGGGCCACGCCCCGGGUGCGUUGCAGCCCCGGAACCAGGCGCCCGCCGGAGGGACCAACCAAACUCUUUCUGUAGUCCCCUCGCGGACGUUAUUAUUACAGCUCUGAGCAAAAAUUCAAAAUGAAUCAAAACUUUCAACAACGGAUCUCUUGGUUCUG